UUUUUCUAUCUGUUCUUCUUCUUCCUUUUCCAUACUUUUUUUUUGUCAAAUUUGAAUAAACAACAUGAACAAAUGUCUGUACUACUAUACUAUUAU
Molecule: non-coding RNA, 96 nt
Filed under: Heterosigma akashiwo
Lineage: Eukaryota; Raphidophyceae; Chattonellales; Chattonellaceae
Source: RNAcentral